Molecule: ribosomal RNA, 468 nt
Filed under: uncultured bacterium
Lineage: Bacteria
Description: partial 16S ribosomal RNA
Rfam family: Bacterial small subunit ribosomal RNA
Source: RNAcentral
GACGAACGCUGGCGGCGUGCUUAACACAUGCAAGUCGAACGGAAAGGCCCUGCUUUUGUGAGGUGCUCGAGUGGCGAACGGGUGAGUAACACGUGAGUAACCUGCCCUUGACUUUGGGAUAACUUCAGGAAACUGGGGCUAAUACCGGAUAGGAGCUCCUGCUGCAUGGUGGGGGUUGGAAAGUUUCGGCGGUUGGGGAUGGACUCGCGGCUUAUCAGCUUGUUGGUGGGGUAGUGGCUUACCAAGGCUUUGACGGGUAGCCGGCCUGAGAGGGUGACCGGCCACAUUGGGACUGAGAUACGGCCCAGACUCCUACGGGAGGCAGCAGGGGGGAAUAUUGCACAAUGGGCGGAAGCCUGAUGCAGCAACGCCGCGUGCGGGAUGACGGCCUUCGGGUUGUAAACCGCUUUCGCCUGUGACGAAGCGUGAGUGACGGUAAUGGGUAAAGAAGCACCGGCUAACUACGUG